RNAcentral lists this ribosomal RNA (253 nucleotides) under uncultured bacterium. Its description in RNAcentral is "partial 16S ribosomal RNA". It matches the Rfam family "Bacterial small subunit ribosomal RNA", at positions 524 to 776 of the family's 1533-position model. The record is from RNAcentral.
UACGAAGGGGGCUAGCGUUGUUCGGAAUUACUGGGCGUAAAGCGCGCGCAGGCGGUCUUCCAAGUCAGUGGUGAAAGCCUGGAGCUCAACUCCAGAACUGCCUUUGAUACUGAGGAUCUUGAGUUCGGGAGAGGUGAGUGGAACUGCGAGUGUAGAGGUGAAAUUCGUAGAUAUUCGCAAGAACACCAGUGGCGAAGGCGGCUCACUGGCCCGAUACUGACGCUGAGGCACGAAAGCGUGGGGAGCAAACAGG